AUCUGGGAAGAGGUAUAAGUUUGUGGCCACCGGGCAUGGGAAGUAUGAGAAGGUGCUUGUGGAAGGGGGCCCGGCUCCCUAGGCGUCCCAUCUCGGUCCAGCCGGCUGGCACCCUCCAUGUACCCAGGGGAGAUUCCAGCCAGACACCCGCCCCCCGGCCCUGGCUAAGAAGUUGCUUCCUGUUGCCAGCAUGACCUACCCUCGCCUCUUUGAUGCCAUCCGCUGCCACCUCCUUUUGCUCCUGGACCCUUUAGCCUCUCUGCCCUUCCACUCUCUGACCACCGCCCCCGCCCUCCCCACCCAGCUCCGCUUCUUGUUACUUGGGGGAGGAAAGAAACUCCUGAUCAUUGGCCAAAGGGACUUACCCCUGGAGAGGCCAAGUGCCUUCUAGGAAGUUAGGAGGUUGAGGCACAGCCUGUGCAGAGAGGGUGGGUCACCCCCCCAGAUCCAAGGAGAAACUGCAGGUCAAGGGCUGAUAACGGCCAUGCAGGAUGCUUGAUGCUGCGUCCCCCGCUGCUUGCCGCCCCCCACCCCGCCAUUUUGUAUAAUAAAGCUCCCUGUGUAUUCUCA
This 570-nucleotide long non-coding RNA is filed under the name Homo sapiens (human). RNAcentral's name for it is "long non-coding RNA NONHSAT158729.1". Lineage: Eukaryota; Metazoa; Chordata; Mammalia; Primates; Hominidae. The record is from RNAcentral.